GCUGCGCUCAAUUGCUAGCUUUUCCUUUAACUCCCGCUGACGUCAGACUGCGGGUUGAAACGGAACCGUCAUCCUCCCCGUUCCCCAGGCAUGAAGCGCGAGGGAGGGGGAAAGAUGCCUUAGGAAGGGAGUCCGAAGGCGCGGAUGUGCUGGCGGAUCGUUGGUUCUAAGAUGCAGCAGUUGCGGUUACUGUGUGCAUCAGUUACCCUGGAAUGCAAACAGUCACAUGAAAGGGGCUGCUGGUUGCUCCAUAGCACUUUAUUGCAGCGAAAGCGAGAGGAUUUGUCAAAUUGCAAGUGCAUUCCUAAAGUUUGGGGUCAUAAACUCUUCCCUAUACUGAAUGGCUUCAAUUGAACAAAAGAUUAAAACCAUUUUAAAAAGUUCAUUCUUACUGUAAAGGCAAGAUCCUCAUUCAAAUUUAUUUAGAGGUGCUGGAGAGGCAGAUUGGAAUACUUCAUUCACUGGAAAGACUACUCUAACAAAUUCAGAGAAGCUGACAAAUUCAGAGAAGCUGCUGCUGAAGUUCAUGCACCCUGACUUGUCCAUCAGUUACAGUUAAUAAGCUGAAAUCCCCAGAUAUGCUCAGAGGUGGCCACUGAUUCUUAUGACUCUGGAGGGGAGGACAAAAGCUUCUGUCUGCUCCCCUCCCCUCCCCUCCCUUCUAAUAUCCCACUCUGCAUAUUAGAAGGGAGAUAGCUACCCAAGCCAUCCUCCUUUUGACUCUAGAGGGCCCAAUUUAAACAACUUGCCUUCCCCUUCUUCCAGGACAAGUUAUUUUUUUCUCUCUCUGGACUCUAUGGAGGAGCAGGGUAGAGAGGCAGAACGUGAUCCAAAGAAUUCUUGGAGUCGGAAAAAGAAAAGGUUUUUUUUCAAAACAUGGCAAAAGGGGAGCAAAGGGACAUUUCAGCCUUAUCUCUUCCGAAAGGUUUCAGUAUAUCAGGGAAUCUGUAAGAAAGAAAUUCAGACAACUCACAGAUAUAUUAAUGUACUCACUAAUCAGUGAGAACUGCUGCUUUCAAUUUAGCCUCCAAGAUUAUUUAACCUCUUUUUACUGGCAUUAAAACUGAUCAAUGAGA
Molecule: long non-coding RNA, 1076 nt
Organism: Python bivittatus (Burmese python)
Lineage: Eukaryota; Metazoa; Chordata; Lepidosauria; Squamata; Pythonidae
Source: RefSeq, a predicted model, not a curated record